GAAGAUGGACCAAGCCCCAAAAGAUCAAGAAAACAGUCAAGUAAAAAGCGAAGUGAUUGAAGAAUCGUUCAUUUUUUAAAAGGCGUUUUAGAGAUUCAAUUAAAACAUCAAAGCUUUCUUGAUCAUUUUUUCUAAAAAAAGAAUGCAAACUAGAAAACUAUUUUUUGCCAGUUUCAAAAAAUCUUUUUCAAGAUUCGAAAUGACGGUUGAAUGGUAGUCCAACAAUUCAACCGUAAUCCUUAAAAAAUAUAUUCUUUUCAUAAACUUCUGCUCCGGUUACCCCCUUGCAGCCCCCUCUCCCGCCUGAAAUAGACUCCUUUAUAUAAAUAAUAACUCAUGUUAUCCGCGAAAUGGAAGUCCUCGACUUUUAGCAAAUCCGUUUUUUCUUAAAAACGGAUUUAUGAAUAGGUAACAUCAAUGUGUAACUAAUUAGUAGUGAAUAUACAAAUUUGAAGUAGAAUGACUCGAAAUAAUGAAUAGAUAGAUGGAUCUAUUCAUUAUUUUGAUUCAUUCUACUUUAUUUUAAGUAAUAAAAUUUUGGAUUCCAAAUUCAAAAUUAUUUUAUUUUUAGUUUCAAUCCUGCCUAAACCCACGCAAAAGAAGAAAAAAAAGAUAUGGAUUUUUCAAGAUGAAUGAAAAGUCAUCUAGAGAAGCUGACUUGCCGGCCGGCCACACCCGUCCGUGUGUUAAAGCCGCAAUAGAAAGCAUAAAUCAUAAAACAUAGAAUUGUCAAGACUCCAUGAGAUGCAUUGUUUUUAUAGCUUCCUUGUUUAUAGACAAAGCUGAUUCGGAAUUUCAUUUCAAGGCAUAACUUGUCUAAUAUUCGUCGGGAGUUGCCUCCUAGAUAGAAAUCCUUUUUUUCUUAAAAACGGGCUAAGAUCAACUAUGAAUAGAAAGCAUCAAUGGGUAA
This 910-nucleotide long non-coding RNA is filed under the name Trifolium pratense (red clover). RNAcentral's name for it is "long non-coding RNA (TPRA_LNC003014)". Lineage: Eukaryota; Viridiplantae; Streptophyta; Magnoliopsida; Fabales; Fabaceae. The record is from RNAcentral.